This 439-nucleotide ribosomal RNA is filed under the name uncultured bacterium. RNAcentral's name for it is "partial 16S ribosomal RNA". It matches the Rfam family "Bacterial small subunit ribosomal RNA", at positions 338 to 795 of the family's 1533-position model. The record is from RNAcentral.
CCUACGGGAGGCUGCAGUGGGGAAUAUUGGACAAUGGGGGGAACCCUGAUCCAGCGACGCCGCGUGAGUGAAGAAGUAUUUCGGUAUGUAAAGCUCUAUCAGCAGGGAAGAAAAUGACGGUACCUGACUAAGAAGCCCCGUCUACCUACGUUCCAGCAGCCGCGAUAAUAUGUAGGGGGCAAGGGUUAUCCGGAUUUACUGGGUGAAAGGGGAGCGUAGACGGUGCAGCAAGUCUGAUGUGAAAGGUCGGGGCCCAACCCGGGACUGCAUUGGAAACUGUUGAACUGGAGUACAGGAGAGGUAGGCGGAAUUCCUAGUGUAGCGGUGAAAUGCGUAGAUAUUAGGAGGAACACCAAUGGCGAAGGCGGCCUGCUAGACAUUAACUGACACUGAGGCGCGAAAGCGUGGGGAGCAAACAGGAUUAGAUACCCUUGUAGUC